This is a long non-coding RNA of Dufourea novaeangliae, 94 nucleotides long. RefSeq lists it as uncharacterized. NCBI's taxonomy places the organism in Eukaryota, Metazoa, Arthropoda, Insecta, Hymenoptera, Halictidae. The transcript is spliced from 3 exons. The record is from RefSeq and is a predicted model, not a curated record.
UGAAGUCAAACAUUUGGAACGAUCAUCGUUGAUUAGCCCUCAGCCUCGAAAGAGUCCUGAGAAACAACCCUCGAUUACCUCAAAAAGAAGAACC